This 188-nucleotide non-coding RNA is filed under the name Sphingomonas sp. T1. The record is from RNAcentral. Lineage: Bacteria; Pseudomonadati; Pseudomonadota; Alphaproteobacteria; Sphingomonadales; Sphingomonadaceae.
AUCCCUCUGACCGCGACAGGUUCCCCGGCGACGGGGAUGAAAAGGGAACGGGAGAACCCCGGCUGCCCCUGCAACUGUAAGCGGCGAGCCAUCGUGCCAUCAUGCCAUUGGGAUCCCGGUCCCGAGAAGGCGGCGCGAAGGGCUGUGACCCGUGAGCCAGGAGACCUGCCCGUCGCAGUCGUCUUUCG